RNAcentral lists this ribosomal RNA (497 nucleotides) under uncultured bacterium. RNAcentral's name for it is "partial 16S ribosomal RNA". It matches the Rfam family "Bacterial small subunit ribosomal RNA", at positions 28 to 507 of the family's 1533-position model. The record is from RNAcentral.
GAUGAACGCUGGCGGCGUGCCUAAUACAUGCCAGUCGAGCGAACGGACGAGAAGCUUGCUUCUCUGAUGUUAGCGGCGGACGGGUGAGUAACACGUGGAUAACCUACCUAUAAGACUGGGAUAACUUCGGGAAACCGUAGCUAAUACCGGAUAAUAUUUUGAACCGCAUGGUUCAAAAGUGAAAGACGGUCUUGCUGUCACUUAUAGAUGGAUCCGCGCUGCAUUAGCUAGUUGGUAAGGUAACGGCUUACCAAGGCAACGAUGCAUAGCCGACCUGAGAGGGUGAACGCCCACACUGGAACAGAGACACGGUCCAGACUCCUACGGGAGGCAGCAGUAGGGAAUCUUACGCAAUGGGCGAAAGCCUGAUGGAGCAACGCCGCGUGAGUGAUGAAGGUCUUCGGAUCGUAAAACUCUGUUAUUAGGGAAGAACAUAUGUGUAAGUAACUGUGCACAUCUUGACGGUACCUAAUCAGAAAGCCACGGCUAACUACGUG